AACGUGGAGACAGGUGGUGCAUGGCUGUCGUCGGCUCGUGUCGUGAGAUGUUGGGUUAAGUCCCGCAACGAGCGCAACCCUCACCUCUUGUUGCCAUCAGGUCAUGCUGGGCACUCUAGAGGAACUGCCCCGGUCAACGGGGAGGAAGGCGGGGAUGACGUCAAGUCAUCAUGCCCCUUACGUCCUGGGCUACACACGUGCUACAAUGGCCGGUACAAAGGGAUGCCACACCGCGAGGUAGAGCUAAACCCAAAAAGCCGGUCUAAGUUCAGAUUGGAGUCUGCAACUCGACUCCAUGAAGGAGGAAUCGCUAGUAAUCGCGUAUCAGCACGACGCGGUGAAUACGUUCCCGGGCCUUGUACACACCGCCCGUCACACCACGAAAGCCUGCUGUACUCGAAGUCGCUGAG
This 410-nucleotide ribosomal RNA is filed under the name uncultured Methylomirabilota bacterium. RNAcentral's name for it is "bacterial SSU rRNA". It matches the Rfam family "Bacterial small subunit ribosomal RNA", at positions 1025 to 1434 of the family's 1533-position model. The record is from RNAcentral. Lineage: Bacteria; Methylomirabilota (SeqCode).